UCCUAGCCGUAAACGAUGGAUACUAGGUGUUAGAGGUAUCGACCCCUCUAGUGCCGCAGCUAACGCAUUAAGUAUCCCGCCUGGGGAGUACGACCGCAAGGUUGAAACUCAAAGGAAUUGACGGGGGCCCGCACAAGCGGUGGAGCAUGUGGUUCAAUACGUCACUAACCGUAGAACCUUACCCAGGCUUGACAUCCGCUGUAAGCGCCUGAAAGGGUGGCCCCUGUGUGGUAAACACACAGCAGUGAGACAGGUGUUGCAUGGCUGUCGUCAGCUCGUGUCGUGAGAUGUUGGGUU
Molecule: ribosomal RNA, 297 nt
Filed under: uncultured bacterium
Lineage: Bacteria
Description: partial 16S ribosomal RNA
Rfam family: Bacterial small subunit ribosomal RNA
Source: RNAcentral